This 620-nucleotide ribosomal RNA is filed under the name uncultured bacterium. RNAcentral describes it as "bacterial SSU rRNA". It matches the Rfam family "Bacterial small subunit ribosomal RNA", at positions 219 to 880 of the family's 1533-position model. The record is from RNAcentral.
UUAUGGAUGGACUCGCGUCCAAUUAGCUAGUAGGCGGGGUAACGGCCCACCUAGGCGACGAUUGGUAGCCGAACUGAAGGUUGAUCGGCCACAUUGGGACUGAGACACGGCCCAGACUCCUACGGGAGGCAGCAGUGGGGAAUAUUGCGCAAUGGGGGCAACCCUGACGCAGCAACGCCGCGUGAAGGAUGAAGGCUUUCGGGUCGUAAACUUUUGUCAUAAGGGACGCGGUACCUUAUGAGGAAGCCACGGCUAACUACGUGCCAGCAGCCGCGGUAAUACGUAGGUGGCGAGCGUUGUCCGGAAUUACUGGGUGUAAAGGGCGCGUAGACGGGUAAGUAAGUCAGAUGUGAAAUACCGGGGCUCAACUCCGGGGCUGCAUUUGAAACUAUUUAUCUUGAGUGCAGAGAGGGAAGCGAAUUCCUAGUGUAGCGGUGAAAUGCGUAGAUAUUAGGAGGAACACCAGUGGCGAAGGCGGCUUUCUGGACUGUAACUGACGUUGAGGCGCGAAAGCGUGGGUAGCAAACAGGAUUAGAUACCCUGGUAGUCCACGCUGUAAACGAUGAUUACUAGGUGUGGGUCCGUGCCGGAGUUAAACAAUAAGUAAUCCACCUGGGGAG